This 1138-nucleotide long non-coding RNA is filed under the name Homo sapiens (human). Its description in RNAcentral is "non-protein coding lnc-CDK12-1:11". Lineage: Eukaryota; Metazoa; Chordata; Mammalia; Primates; Hominidae. The record is from RNAcentral.
GGGAAAUCAUUUGAAUCCUGUCCUGGUAUUGCUUUGUGUUCCUGGAUUUGGAGAAUUUCUGGGAACACAGGAAAAGGAAAGUGAAUGCCACCAGGAUCUGAACCCAAGAUUCCAGCCUCGGUCACCACCCUGACCCUGAGAAUGCCACUGGGAUGGGGAGAACUUGUCAGUCUUCAUCCUUCCCCACAAGUAUACUGAAGCCAGGACAGCACCUGCCUUAGAGAGCUCUUAGAGGGAUUAUCCGCAGCCUGAAGAAAGAAGGUUACAACUGAGGAAGAACUUCUGAACAGGGAAGAGUGGAAGAAAAGACUGCAGUACGUAGAGCAUCAAGGGAAGCUGUGGAAAUAUAUUUUCUUAAGUACAGGCUCAGCUCCAGAAGCAGACCCAGAAUGGCAUCCUUCUCUGAGACCCAGACCCCAGCCCCUUUUCAUGGAAGACCAGCACAAAGGAGGAAGUAGGUUAGGGAAUGGUAAGGCUCCAUGUGAUGGGACUAAUGUGGAGAGGCCUGGGGCCUUUCCCUGAGGACUGGAUGGCUGGAGUUUGGGAGCCUGAGUUGACAGAGGAGGCUAAGCCCGGGCAGCUACUUUGUUCCAGAAAUCUAAGGUCCCUGGAGGGAGGCUCUGCUUUGGGAGGGGGAAGGGAGCUAACAUUGCAGAGCACCAACUGUGAACCAGGUACAAUGGCAGAGCCUUUCCAUACCUGUACUCACAACUAGCGGGUGAGGAGUCAAGGCAAAUAGGUGUCUCAUAGCUCCCCAUAUCUCGGCAGUCGACCACCUCCUCCUUUGAUUCUCUGAUGUCACUGCCAGUUCUCCUCCUAUUGCUCUGACCUGUCUUUCUCUGUGUCCUUUGCAAACUCAUUCUCAACUCCUUAGACUCAGUCAAGUCCCCCAGUUACACACUUCCAUGGUACUAUAUAUCAUUCCUUCAGAGCACUUAACACAGUUAUUUCCUAUGUAUUUGUCCAGUCAUUUGAAUAAUGAUCCUAGUUUCAUUGGAUGGAAAGUUCCACAAGGUCAGUGACCAUUUCUAUCUGUGUUCACCAAUGUGUUCCCAGUGCCCAGAAACAAUGCCUAGCAUAAAGCAGCUGUUUUGUAAAUACUUGUUCAAUGAAUGAAUAAAUGACAAAAGAACAUCUC